RNAcentral lists this ribosomal RNA (468 nucleotides) under uncultured bacterium. RNAcentral's name for it is "partial 16S ribosomal RNA". It matches the Rfam family "Bacterial small subunit ribosomal RNA", at positions 28 to 507 of the family's 1533-position model. The record is from RNAcentral.
GACGAACGCUGGCGGCGUGCUUAACACAUGCAAGUCGAACGGAAAGGCCCUGCUUUUGUGGGGUGCUCGAGUGGCGAACGGGUGAGUAACACGUGAGUAACCUGCCCUUGACUUUGGGAUAACUUCAGGAAACUGGGGCUAAUACCGGAUAGGAGCUCCUGCUGCAUGGGGGGAGUUGGAAAGUUUCGGCGGUUGGGGAUGGACUCGCGGCUUAUCAGCUUGUUGGUGGGGUAGUGGCUUACCAAGGCUUUGACGGGUAGCCGGCCUGAGAGGGUGACCGGCCACAUUGGGACUGAGAUACGGCCCAGACUCCUACGGGCGGCAGCAGUGGGGAAUAUUGCACAAUGGGCGGAAGCCUGAUGCAGCAACGCCGCGUGCGGGAUGACGGCCUUCGGGUUGUAAACCGCUUUCGCCUGUGACGAAGCGUGAGUGACGGUAAUGGGUAAAGAAGCACCGGCUAACUACGUG